Molecule: ribosomal RNA, 472 nt
Filed under: uncultured bacterium
Lineage: Bacteria
Description: bacterial SSU rRNA
Rfam family: Bacterial small subunit ribosomal RNA
Source: RNAcentral
ACUCCUACGGGAGGCAGCAGUGGGGAAUAUUGCACAAUGGGCGCAAGCCUGAUGCAGCCAUGCCGCGUGUGUGAAGAAGGCCUUCGGGUUGUAAAGCACUUUCAGUCGUGAGGAAGGUGGUAGUGUUAAUAGCACUAUCAUUUGACGUUAGCGACAGAAGAAGCACCGGCUAACUCCGUGCCAGCAGCCGCGGUAAUACGGAGGGUGCGAGCGUUAAUCGGAAUUACUGGGCGUAAAGCGCAUGCAGGUGGUUUGUUAAGUCAGAUGUGAAAGCCCGGGGCUCAACCUCGGAAUAGCAUUUGAAACUGGCAGACUAGAGUACUGUAGAGGGGGUAGAAUUUCAGGUGUAGCGGUGAAAUGCGUAGAGAUCUGAAGGAAUACCGGUGGCGAAGGCGGCCCCCUGGACAGAUACUGACACUCAGAUGCGAAAGCGUGGGGAGCAAACAGGAUUAGAUACCCUGGUAGGAUAGCG